GCCAGCAGCCGCGGUAACACCGGCGGCCCGAGUGGUGAUCGUGAUUAUUGGGUCUAAAGGGUCCGUAGCCGGUUUGGUCAGUCCUCCGGGAAAUCUGAUAGCUCAACUAUUAGGCUUUCGGGGGAUACUGCCAGACUUGGAACCGGGAGAGGUAAGAGGUACUACAGGGGUAGGAGUGAAAUCUUGUAAUCCCUGUGGGACCACCUGUGGCGAAGGCGUCUUACCAGAACGGGUUCGACGGUGAGGGACGAAAGCUGGGGGCACGAACCGGAUUAGAUACCCGGGUAGUCCCAGCCGUAAACGAUGCUCGCUAGGUGUCAGGCAUGGCGCGACCGUGUCUGGUGCCGCAGGGAAGCCGUGAAGCGAGCCACCUGGGAAGUACGGCCGCAAGGCUGAAACUUAAAGGAAUUGGCGGGGGAGCACAACAACGGGUGGAGCCUGCGGUUUAAUUGGACUCAACGCCGGACAACUCACCGGGGGCGACAGCAAUAUGUAGGCCAAGCUGAAGACUUUGCCUGAAUCGCUGAGGGGUGGUGCAUGG
RNAcentral lists this ribosomal RNA (541 nucleotides) under uncultured archaeon. RNAcentral describes it as "bacterial SSU rRNA". It matches the Rfam family "Archaeal small subunit ribosomal RNA", at positions 457 to 997 of the family's 1478-position model. The record is from RNAcentral.